AUUCGAUUAACGCGAAGAACCUUACCUGGGCUUGACAUGCUGGUGGUAGGCGCCGGAAACGGUGGCCGACCCUUCGGGGAGCCAGCACAGGUGCUGCAUGGCUGUCGUCAGCUCGUGUCGUGAGAUGUUGGGUUAAGUCCCGCAACGAGCGCAACCCCCGCCCUGUGUUGCCAGCAUUCAGUUGGGCACUCUAGCGAGACUGCCGGUGAUAAACCGGAGGAAGGUGGGGAUGACGUCAAAUCAUCAUGCCCCUUAUGAGCUGGGCUACACACGUGCUACAAUGGACGGUACAACGAGUUGCGAGGCCGCAAGGCUUAGCGAAUCUUUAUAAGCCGUUCUCAGUUCGGAUUGCUCUCUGCUACUCGAGAGCAUGAAGCCGGAAUCGCUAGUAAUCGUG
This 397-nucleotide ribosomal RNA is filed under the name uncultured Atopostipes sp. RNAcentral describes it as "bacterial SSU rRNA". It matches the Rfam family "Bacterial small subunit ribosomal RNA", at positions 949 to 1346 of the family's 1533-position model. Lineage: Bacteria; Bacillati; Bacillota; Bacilli; Lactobacillales; Carnobacteriaceae. The record is from RNAcentral.